Molecule: transfer RNA, 75 nt
Filed under: compost metagenome
Description: tRNA-Asp
Rfam family: tRNA
About the family: Transfer RNA (tRNA) molecules are approximately 80 nucleotides in length. Their secondary structure includes four short double-helical elements and three loops (D, anti-codon, and T loops). Further hydrogen bonds mediate the characteristic L-shaped molecular structure. tRNAs have two regions of fundamental functional importance: the anti-codon, which is responsible for specific mRNA codon recognition, and the 3' end, to which the tRNAs corresponding amino acid is attached (by aminoacyl-tRNA synthetases). tRNAs cope with the degeneracy of the genetic code in two manners: having more than one tRNA (with a specific anti-codon) for a particular amino acid; and 'wobble' base-pairing, i.e. permitting non-standard base-pairing at the 3rd anti-codon position.
Source: RNAcentral
GGACCGGUAGUUCAGUUGGUUAGAAUGCCGCCCUGUCACGGCGGAGGUCGCGGGUUCGAGUCCCGUCCGGUCCGC